UUUUACUAGAGUUUUAUGUGAGAAGGGAGAAUUUCUGGAGGAGAGAUGGAAUAUGUUGAUACCAGAAGGACUGGUAACGGCGAAGGCAUCCUUCUAUGUAAAAACUGACGUUGAGGGACGAAGGCUUGGGUAGCAAUAAGGAUUAGAUACCCUAGUAGUCCAAGCAGACAAUGAUGAAUGUCAUAGAC
Molecule: ribosomal RNA, 188 nt
Rfam family: Bacterial small subunit ribosomal RNA